Molecule: ribosomal RNA, 497 nt
Filed under: uncultured bacterium
Lineage: Bacteria
Description: partial 16S ribosomal RNA
Rfam family: Bacterial small subunit ribosomal RNA
Source: RNAcentral
GAUGAACGCUGGCGGCGUGCCUAAUACAUGCAAGUCGAGCGAACAGACGAGGAGCUUGCUCCUCUGACGUUAGCGGCGGACGGGUGAGUAACACGUGGGUAACCUACCUAUAAGACUGGGAUAACUUCGGGAAACCGGAGCUAAUACCGGAUAAUAUUUCGAACCGCAUGGUUCGAUAGUGAAAGAUGGCUCUGCUAUCACUUAUAGAUGGACCUGCGCCGUAUUAGCUAGUUGGUAAGGUAACGGCUUACCAAGGCAACGAUACGUAGCCGACCUGAGAGGGUGAUCGGCCACACUGGAACUGAGACACGGUCCAGACUCCUACGGGAGGCAGCAGUAGGGAAUCUUCCGCAAUGGGCGAAAGCCUGACGGAGCAACGCCGCGUGAGUGAUGAAGGUCUUCGGAUCGUAAAACUCUGUUAUUAGGGAAGAACAAACGUGUAAGUAACUGUGCACGUCUUGACGGUACCUAAUCAGAAAGCCACGGCUAACUACGUG